This is a long non-coding RNA of Leopardus geoffroyi (Geoffroy's cat), 694 nucleotides long. RefSeq lists it as uncharacterized. The record is from RefSeq and is a predicted model, not a curated record. The transcript is spliced from 2 exons. NCBI's taxonomy places the organism in Eukaryota, Metazoa, Chordata, Mammalia, Carnivora, Felidae.
AGUAAGGUGGGAUCUUCAGAAUAAGAAUGAAGAAGGAUCACCGAGAGACAUUGAUAAGAGGCAGUGAACCUCCAGGACAUUCAGAGAGCGGAAGCCAUGUGGUGCUCCGGGAUGAACUGGUUGGCAAGAAGCUUAUAAAUCAGUGGGGAAAACUGAAGCAGCAAAGCUCUCGUGCCUGGUCUCAAGCUCUGGAAAUGCAGACUGUGGCAAGACUGUCCAGAUAUUUCUAAUUCCCACCCAGAGUAGAAGCUAAGGAGCCAAACUCUUGGUCUCCGUUACUCUUUUCGGAUGGGGAAUGAGAGUCGGCUCCUCUCCUGGCGCCUGUACUUCACCAACUGUUCCUAAUUAUGAGAGUAUUUGAUGGAACCUAGUUUGAUAAACAAACGAAAAGCCCUUGGUAAUUGUCACAGCGGUGAAAGCAUUUACAUCCAUAGGAAUGGAGAAGAAGUUUUGGAAAGCUCACUGAAACUCCAGCACUCACAACCGGCUCCACCUUGGCCUGACACCCCGCCCUCCAUCCCACCUGGAUGCUCAUGGGCUUGGCUCCUGGCCGUCAUUGAUCUUACCUGGAAGCUAAUGGCAUGUAAACCCCGGGGCCCCCUCACUUGUCCAGACCCCUUCCCGAGACUCUAAGAGGUGCCCUAGCAAUGUGUUCACUCAGACCGACCUUUAAAAACAUCUACACUCUAACUUC